GAGUUGAUCCUGGCUCAGAACGACGCUGGCGGCAGGCCUAAUACAUGCAAGUCGAGCGCUCUAGCAAUAGAGAGCGGCGCACGGGUGCGUAACGCGUGGGAACAUGCCCUUAGGUGCGGAACAACGUCUGGAAACGGACGCUAAUACCGCAUAAUAUCUCCGGAUCAAAGAUUUAUCGCCUAGGGAUUGGCCCGCGUUGGAUUAGCUAGUUGGUGAGGUAAUGGCUCACCAAGGCUACGAUCCAUAGCUGGUCUGAGAGGAUGAUCAGCCACACUGGGACUGAGACACGGCCCAGACUCCUACGGGAGGCAGCAGUAAGGAAUAUUGGACAAUGGAGGAAACUCUGAUCCAGCCAUGCCGCGUGAGUGAUGAAGGCCUUCGGGUUGUAAAACUCUUUUAGAUGUGACGAUGAUGACGGUAACAUCAGAAAAAGCCCCGGCUAACUUCGUG
This 450-nucleotide ribosomal RNA is filed under the name uncultured Alphaproteobacteria bacterium. Its description in RNAcentral is "bacterial SSU rRNA". It matches the Rfam family "Bacterial small subunit ribosomal RNA", at positions 9 to 507 of the family's 1533-position model. The record is from RNAcentral. Lineage: Bacteria; Pseudomonadati; Pseudomonadota; Alphaproteobacteria.